GUACGUACGAUCUCGCACUAUUGGGCGUAAAGGCUCGCAGGCGGUUUCUUAGGUCUGAUGUGAAAGCCCCCGGCUCCGCCGGGGGGGGUCAUUGGAAACUGGGGAACUUGAGUGCAGAGUAGGAGAGUGGAAUUCCACGUGUAGGGGUGAAAUGCUAGAGAGAUGUGGAGGAACACCAGUGGCGAAGGCGACUCUCUGGUCUGUAACUGACGCUGAGGAGCGAAAGCGUGGGGAGCGAACAGGAUUAGAUACCCUGGUAGUCCACGCCGUAAACGAUGAGUGCUAAGUGUUAGGGGGUUUCCGCCCCUUAGUGCUGCAGCUAACGCAUUAAGCACUCCGCCUGGGGAGUACGGUCGCAAGACUGAAACUCAAAGGAAUUGACGGGGGCCCGCACAAGCGGUGGAGCAUGUGGUUUAAUUCGAAGCAACGCGAAGAACCUUACCAGGUCUUGACAUCCUCUGACAAUCCUAGAGAUAGGACGUCCCCUUCGGGGGCAGAGUGACAGGUGGUGCAUGGUUGUCGUCAGCUCGUGUCGUGAGAUGUUGGGUUAAGUCCCGCAACGAGCGCAACCCUUGAUCUUAGUUGCCAGCAUUCAGUUGGGCACUCUAAGGUGACUGCCGGUGACAAACCGGAGGAAGGUGGGGAUGACGUCAAAUCAUCAUGCCCCUUAUGACCUGGGCUACACACGUGCUACAAUGGACAGAACAAAGGGCAGCGAAACCGCGAGGUUAAGCCAAUCCCACAAAUCUGUUCUCAGUUCGGAUCGCAGUCUGCAACUCGACUGCGUGAAGCUGGAAUCGCUAGUUAUCGCGGAUCAGCAUGC
RNAcentral lists this ribosomal RNA (823 nucleotides) under Bacillus sp. SKS45. Its description in RNAcentral is "bacterial SSU rRNA". It matches the Rfam family "Bacterial small subunit ribosomal RNA", at positions 534 to 1357 of the family's 1533-position model. The record is from RNAcentral. Lineage: Bacteria; Bacillati; Bacillota; Bacilli; Caryophanales; Bacillaceae.